This 301-nucleotide ribosomal RNA is filed under the name uncultured bacterium. RNAcentral's name for it is "partial 16S ribosomal RNA". It matches the Rfam family "Bacterial small subunit ribosomal RNA", at positions 509 to 807 of the family's 1533-position model. The record is from RNAcentral.
CAGCAGCCGCGGUAAUACGUAGGUGGCAAGCGUUGUCCGGAAUUAUUGGGCGUAAAGGGCUCGCAGGCGGUUUCUUAAGUCUGAUGUGAAAGCCCCCGGCUCAACCGGGGAGGGUCAUUGGAAACUGGGAAACUCGAGUGCAGAAGAGGAGAGUGGAAUUCCACGUGUAGCGGUGAAAUGCGUAGAGAUGUGGAGGAACACCAGUGGCGAAGGCGACUCUCUGGUCUGUAACUGACGCUGAGGAGCGAAAGCGUGGGGAGCGAACAGGAUUAGAUACCCGAGUAGUCCCUGUCUCUUAUAC